This 254-nucleotide ribosomal RNA is filed under the name uncultured bacterium. RNAcentral describes it as "partial 16S ribosomal RNA". It matches the Rfam family "Bacterial small subunit ribosomal RNA", at positions 524 to 776 of the family's 1533-position model. The record is from RNAcentral.
UACGGAGGAGGCAAGCGUUAUCCGGAAUUAUUGGGCGUAAAGCGUCCGUAGAUGGUCGCUUCAAGUCUGCGGUUAAAGACUGGGGCUUAACCCUGGAAAGGCCGUGGAAACUGAACAGCUAGAGAAAGGUAGGGGUAGAGGGAAUUCCCAGUGUAGCGGUGAAAUGCGUAGAGAUUGGGAAGAACAUCAGUGGCGAAAGCGCUCUACUGGACCUUAUCUGACAUUGAGGGACGAAAGCUAGGGGAGCGAAUGGG